Molecule: long non-coding RNA, 1387 nt
Organism: Papaver somniferum (opium poppy)
Lineage: Eukaryota; Viridiplantae; Streptophyta; Magnoliopsida; Ranunculales; Papaveraceae
Exons: 4
Source: RefSeq, a predicted model, not a curated record
AUGGAAAUCAUUGUUUUAUAAUUUUAGAUCCACAAAAUCGUCUUCCUUUCCUCCUCUUUCAGCCACCAUCACCAUCACGGCCUCUCUCCCACCACCAUCACCUCCGCCAUCACCACCACCUCCUCCACGGUAUCAACAAAUUGACACUAACAAAACCAUUUCAUACUUAUUUUUGGUUCAUUUGAGUGAGAGAGAUUUUCAGAGAUGAUUUGAAACAUCGAGAGAUAUCUUCUUCUAAGAUCAAUCAAAUCUUCGAAAUCGAACUGGAUAGUCACCAUCAACAGUUGAUCUUCUUCUAAUUUCAAGUUUAUUUCGGUGUCAAUUGAAGAUCCAUAAGAUCGAUACACAUAUUUAGGUUUUUGAUUUUGUUUUCUGGAGCAAUCAUCAUCAUGUAAAAGAUAAGGAGAAAUUUGACAUUUUUAUCAUUGAUGCUGUUGGUGGAUGCCAGAAGUGUAUAUGCUUUGCAGAAAAUAUUGAUGCGGGUGUUCCAUAAAUGCAGGGGAGUAUAUUUUGUGCUUGGAUGACAGCUUGUGGGACGAACAGGCUCUUUAGCAUUUUGAGAAUAAAGUUGUAUGGACAACCACAUAGUAGAAGAAGACAGACACAUGCAUAUGAAUUUUUUGAAUCACUAUGAGACGUUUUGUGGAGUUGUGAGAGAAGAGUCUGGCUGGGACUAUUUCGGAAGGCAUGACCAGGAUUGCUGCUGUUCAUUUUGUAGAGUUGUGAGAGAAGAGUCUGGAUGCAGUUGCUAUGAAUAUAUAAAUACUGGAGUUGUGGCCGCAGUUGGUUUUCCACGGGUUCAAAUGGCCAGGUGAUGGAGCUAUGCAGGGAGUCUCAGUGGCGGUGAUGUUUUUCUACAACAACAGUGGAUAUUAUUCAGUGUGGAAGCUGGGUUCACUGGUGGAGCUAACCGGUGCCUGCAUUUAAGGUAUACCUUUAGUGGGAAAUUAUCUUCAUGUAUGCAUCUUUGAGUAAUCAGGACGAAUCUGUGGUGCAAUGGUAGCACAACUGACUAUACGUCAGAAGAUGUGUGUUCGACUCACACUAGGUUCACUUUUUCGAGUACAAUUUUUAUUUUUUGGAGACAACUUGUGAUAGUUGCCUCCAUAUAUGAAGACAACUUGCGCUAGUUGCUUUCACUUUUGAAGACAGCUUGAGCUAGUUGCCUCAGAUUCGGAGACAACUUGAGUUAGUUGGCUCCAUUUUGUUUUGCAACUUGUUCUUGUACACUAUUUAUUGGAAACAACUUGAGCUAGUUGCCUCCACUGUUGGAGACAACUUAAGCUAGUUGCCUCCGGUAUGGACAUUAUUUAUUGGAGACAACUUGAGCUAGUUGCCUCCGAUAUGGACACAACAUCUGCUAGUUGACUCCAUAUGGUAGUGGCGG